RNAcentral lists this ribosomal RNA (300 nucleotides) under uncultured Pseudomonas sp. RNAcentral describes it as "bacterial SSU rRNA". It matches the Rfam family "Bacterial small subunit ribosomal RNA", at positions 1084 to 1382 of the family's 1533-position model. The record is from RNAcentral. Lineage: Bacteria; Pseudomonadati; Pseudomonadota; Gammaproteobacteria; Pseudomonadales; Pseudomonadaceae.
GUCCGUAACGAGCGCAACCCUUGUCCUUAGUUACCAGCACGUUAUGGUGGGCACUCUAAGGAGACUGCCGGUGACAAACCGGAGGAAGGUGGGGAUGACGUCAAGUCAUCAUGGCCCUUACGGCCUGGGCUACACACGUGCUACAAUGGUCGGUACAAAGGGUUGCCAAGCCGCGAGGUGGAGCUAAUCCCAUAAAACCGAUCGUAGUCCGGAUCGCAGUCUGCAACUCGACUGCGUGAAGUCGGAAUCGCUAGUAAUCGUGAAUCAGAAUGUCACGGUGAAUACCGGUUCCCGGGCCUU